Molecule: non-coding RNA, 577 nt
Filed under: Pan troglodytes (chimpanzee)
Lineage: Eukaryota; Metazoa; Chordata; Mammalia; Primates; Hominidae
Source: RNAcentral
GGGGGCGGUGGGCGGAUGCCUACCGAGAGACCAGGGGAGCUAAGUGAUUGAUGGAGCUUCCGGAAGUCUUGGCGGCUGUACCAGCGCUAAUGUUCCUCCUUUUCCUGAGGUAUUCUAAUCACAGAAUUACUGGAGCAUCAAGAAGUGCCUGCAUGCUUGGAAGGGCUUCCAGGCAGAUGAACACACCUCAGCACCGGGUGGCAUUUUCCCAGGGUGCAACCCGGAGCGGCUCUGGGUCACACUGACAAGGACAACAGGGUUAACAAUUUCCAGAGACAGCCCGUACAUAGAAGGAAUGUUUACUGAAAAAAAUGAAGAGGGGUCAGGGCAAGGCGAGGAGCGAGAAGCACCCCCAAGGAAACAGAGAAGACCAGUACAACUGUACCUCUUUGCCAGCUGCACCAUCCGUACCAGGUGGCACGUUCCAGAGCCAUAGCCUCUGUUCUAUUCAUCUCCAGUCUCCUGGGGUGGAAGUGUCCAGCGCAGAGACUGCCACACUGCAAGAUGAAGGGGCUGGACACACGGAAGAGAGAGGCGGAACCCUGCACCCCCUCGACCUCAGCCCUACUGAGUCUCC